AGUGAACGCUGGCGGUAGGCCUAACACAUGCAAGUCGAACGGCAGCACAGUAAGAGCUUGCUCUUACGGGUGGCGAGUGGCGGACGGGUGAGGAAUACAUCGGAAUCUACUUUUUCGUGGGGGAUAACGUAGGGAAACUUACUCUCAUACCGCAUACGACCUACGGGUGAAAGCAGGGGAUCUUCGGACCUUGCGCGAUUGAAUGAGCCGAUGUCGGAUUAGCUAGUUGGCGGGGUAAAGGCCCACCAAGGCGACGAUCCGUAGCUGGUCUGAGAGGAUGAUCAGCCACACUGGAACUGAGACACGGUCCAGACUCCUACGGGAGGCAGCAGUGGGGAAUAUUGGACAAUGGGCGCAAGCCUGAUCCAGCCAUACCGCGUGGGUGAAGAAGGCCUUCGGGUUGUAAAGCCCUUUUGUUGGGAAAGAAAAGCAGCAGGUUAAUACCCCGCUGUUCUGACGGUACCCAAAGAAUAAGCACCGGCUAACUUCGUG
Molecule: ribosomal RNA, 492 nt
Filed under: uncultured bacterium
Lineage: Bacteria
Description: partial 16S ribosomal RNA
Rfam family: Bacterial small subunit ribosomal RNA
Source: RNAcentral